AUGCCCGACGAGGUUGUGCUACCACCCACCGUCGAGGAAGACCCAAAGACGUCUGAUGGUGGCGACGACGAGGGCAUGGAGGAGCCCCCCAGCAACAAGAGCCGCAAUUACGGCCACUACCAUCAGGAGGAUGGCCCGACUCACUUCUGCAAGGUCAUCCUUGCACCGAAGCUUGAGUGCAUCCCCAUGCCCCUGGACUUCACCAAGCACUUCGUCCCGGUGCCGACGGAGUUCAAGCUCAGGAACAACACCGGCUGCUCCUGGAAGGUGACGAUGAAGCUGAUGAACGGCAGGGUGACCCUGGAUCAGGGUUGGGCCACCUACGCAGCCGUUCAUCAGAUCAAGAUCGGCUACAUGGUGACGUUCAAGCUCCUCACUCCCGACACCCUCAAGAUCAUCAUCUUCGACGUGGAUGGCAUUGAGGUUGUCAACAAGUGCGAGAAGCACGACGAAGCCUUCGCCGCCAAGGAGUAG
RNAcentral lists this ribosomal RNA (474 nucleotides) under Triticum aestivum (bread wheat). RNAcentral's name for it is "partial small subunit ribosomal RNA". Lineage: Eukaryota; Viridiplantae; Streptophyta; Magnoliopsida; Poales; Poaceae. The record is from RNAcentral.